Molecule: non-coding RNA, 678 nt
Organism: Malus domestica (apple)
Lineage: Eukaryota; Viridiplantae; Streptophyta; Magnoliopsida; Rosales; Rosaceae
Source: RefSeq, a predicted model, not a curated record
UCAAUUUUCCUAUAUAGAGGGCGGUUACAAGGCUGGGCUUAUAUACUGAAGAAUCUGAUUAUAUUCUAGGCUAGCUGCUUUCUUUGGUAAGGGAGUAGAUACUUUAUAUGCCAUGGACAGGGAAUGGAUACGAAAUCCGAAUCAAGUGAGUAGGGAAUAUUUAAAUGGGAUUUCAGAAUUUUUGAAAACUGCAAGCAAACAUGUCAACGCUGAGGGUUAUACUAAGUGCCCAUGCCAGAAUUGUAACAACUGUAGAUUGAAGUCAUUGAGAGAAAUUCAGCAAGAUUUGGGUAGAUAUGGAAUGUCAUUCAAUUAUACUACAUGGACUCAUGGUGAUGAUAGUUCAAGCAGUACUACUGAUGACGGUAGUGAUCUGGAUUAUUAGUUGUCUAUGGCUAAAUGGAAUUCUGGGCUAGAUAGCUUACAACUGGUAUCAACACGGCAUGGAGACCAGUGUGAGGAUCAUUCACGCCAGUUGUUUGAUACUGGAAUGUUUCAUGAUGAUCGUCAUCGUUUCCCGAUUUCAUGAUGCUGCAUAUCAACGUGAUGAGGACUAUAGUGAGAAUGGUGAUACUUAAGGAUAUUUUAUCUAUAUUAUAGUAAUGUCGAAAUGAAAACAUAGAUAUUUUUGUAUUUUGUAAUUAAACCGAAUUGUGAACCUUACAUUAGUUUAUAUUA